RNAcentral lists this ribosomal RNA (116 nucleotides) under Sinocyclocheilus grahami. Lineage: Eukaryota; Metazoa; Chordata; Actinopteri; Cypriniformes; Cyprinidae. The record is from RNAcentral.
UGCCACAGUCAUAUCACCCUGCAGCCCAAGACUGGCUGUCCACUGAAGCUAAGCAGGGCUGAGCUGGUCAGUACUCGGAUGGGAGACCUCCUGGGAAAACUAGGUUGUUGCUGGAA